This 206-nucleotide long non-coding RNA is filed under the name Setaria italica (foxtail millet). RNAcentral's name for it is "long non-coding RNA (SITA_LNC004509)". Lineage: Eukaryota; Viridiplantae; Streptophyta; Magnoliopsida; Poales; Poaceae. The record is from RNAcentral.
CAGAAGCUAGAUGACUGACACAUGGUACGAAUUCCAAGCAUCACCGUGGACAGAAUACAAGGACUUAGACGGUGUUCUAUAUGUGGAUUGAGGCUUCUUCAAGUCUAUUUUCCACUCCAUCAAACGGUUCAUUAUUUGGAUUUCCCAAUAAAGAGUUAUGCUCAUUUUAGUAACUGCUGCCAGAAGCUGAAAGACGCGCGAACCAG